RNAcentral lists this ribosomal RNA (442 nucleotides) under uncultured bacterium. Its description in RNAcentral is "partial 16S ribosomal RNA". It matches the Rfam family "Bacterial small subunit ribosomal RNA", at positions 29 to 507 of the family's 1533-position model. The record is from RNAcentral.
AUGAACGCUGGCGGCAUGCCUAACCCCUGCAAGUCGAUCGGGAAGGCUCUUCGGAGUACACGAGAGGCGGACGGCUGAGUAACGCGUAGGAACACACCCUGCAGUGAGGGAUAAGACACCGAAAGGUGUUCUAAUACCGCAUACGGUCUUCGGAUUAAAGCAUUUAUGCGCUGAAGGAGUGGCCUGCGUCAUAUUAGAUAGUUGGUGAGGUAAUGGCUCACCAAGUCGAUGAUGUGUAGCUGGUCUGAGAGGAUGAUCAGCCAGACUGGAACUGAGACACGGUCCAGACUCCUACGGGAGGCAGCAGUGAGGAAUAUUUCACAAUGAGCGAAAGCUUGAUGGAGCAAUGCCGCGUGCAGGAUGAAGGCCCUCGGGUUGUAAACUGCUUUUAUAAGAGAAGAUUAUGACGGUAACUUAUGAAUAAGGGACGGCUAACUACGUG